GAUGAACGCUAGCGGCAGGCCUAAUACAUGCAAGUCGGACGGGAUAGGAGAGCUUGCUUUCCUUGAGAGUGGCGCACGGGUGCGUAACACGUAUGUAACCUACCUUAUCCAGGGGGGAUAGCCUCUCGAAAGAGAGAUUAAGACCGCAUAACAUUAUGAACAGCAUUGUUAACAAUCAAAUAUUUAUAGGGAUAAGAUGGGCAUGCGGGACAUUAGCAG
RNAcentral lists this ribosomal RNA (219 nucleotides) under uncultured bacterium. RNAcentral's name for it is "partial 16S ribosomal RNA". It matches the Rfam family "Bacterial small subunit ribosomal RNA", at positions 28 to 247 of the family's 1533-position model. The record is from RNAcentral.